RNAcentral lists this unclassified non-coding RNA (273 nucleotides) under uncultured fungus. Its description in RNAcentral is "partial contains small subunit ribosomal RNA, internal transcribed spacer 1, and 5.8S ribosomal RNA". The stretch from base 1 to 73 matches the Rfam family "Eukaryotic small subunit ribosomal RNA", at positions 1759 to 1831 of the family's 1831-position model. The record is from RNAcentral. Lineage: Eukaryota; Fungi.
CCAAACUUGGUCAUUUAGAGGAAGUAAAAGUCGUAACAAGGUUUCCGUAGGUGAACCUGCGGAAGGAUCAUCAACAAAAGGGAAAAGGGCGCGGCGGGCGCAAGCCCGUUCGACGCUACUCCCGAAAAUCCUGUAUUCACCCCAAGUUCCUUUAAAAUUUAUUUGAAUAAAACUUGCAAAAAAAGACCACCUUCGUUUCGGUGGCGCUUAAUGCAAAAAGCGAAAACUUUCAACAACGGAUCUCUUGGCUCUCGCAUCGAUGAAGAACGCAGC